RNAcentral lists this unclassified non-coding RNA (426 nucleotides) under Hevea brasiliensis (rubber tree). The record is from RNAcentral. Lineage: Eukaryota; Viridiplantae; Streptophyta; Magnoliopsida; Malpighiales; Euphorbiaceae.
GAAUAAUUCAUUUUCCAAGAAUAAGACUUUAACCUAAUCAAACCAGGAGAAGGAUUUUCUCAAGAAAUUAAAAGAGGUGAAGGUUUACAUUGGAGUUCAACUUGAAAAACUUCACAAAACUCCUUGACUAAAGAUUUAUGAGUAACAUCGAUAAGCUGGACAUCAUCUAGGUUUUCUGUACCACAGCCAUUAGAGUGUGAGUGCUCCCUCAGCAAUCCCUUUAUGCUUCCAACUUGACGGUCACGGAUCCCACAUGGAACUAUCUGUUGAAAGGGUGCCAGAUCUGUGGUGACAUUGAGAGCCAGGCCAUGAUAGGUGACCCAUUGAGAUACUCGAAUGCCAAUUGCAGCUAAUUUCUGACCCCCAACCCAAACACCGGUUAGGCCAUCAAUUCUUGAAGCCUCCAUAGAAAAUGAUGAAGAAAGA